Molecule: long non-coding RNA, 3706 nt
Organism: Mesocricetus auratus (golden hamster)
Lineage: Eukaryota; Metazoa; Chordata; Mammalia; Rodentia; Cricetidae
Exons: 2
Source: RefSeq, a predicted model, not a curated record
UGUGAGGCUGUGUGUAGGCGUUCUCCAGGAGGGAAGAAAUUAACUCUGGGGAAGGCGGAUGACCAGAGGCCUCCAAGCACCUUGCUCCACUUUGGGAGCCCAUGCAAUCUCAUUUGCCCUGCGCAAGUCUAUAGGCCUGAAAAGGAACCACUGUCCUGUCUGUGGCCCUGCUGAUGGGUGACUUGGGGAUCUUCUCAGCAGUCAAUUUGCUCAGGCAAACAUCUGUCCAAGGAGGCAGACAAAUGAAGGAGGAUAAGAGGCUGAAAUGAAAAACGACAAGGACAUCGCCUGUCCAUCUGUGCUGAACUGGGUCUUGGGAAGGACAGCUCAGGACCUCCACCUGUGCUGAAUCAGGCCUUGGGAAGGACAGCCCUGAACCCCUCGUACCUCUCCUACCCCUUGGACCCCUUGUACUUCAGGGUGCUGAAAUCAGAGACAAGAGAGUCUGAUUUUAAUCAUUUUCUCAUCUCAAUCUUGAGCAAUUUCUAGCCAACGUCUGGGAAAAUAACAUGAUGCCCUCGAUGCUAGUAAUACUAUCCAAAUCAGAAUUCCAGUUUUCACAGUGCCUUGGAGAUGCAUGAGAGACAAAUGUCUAAGCCAGAGUUUAAACUAUAUGUGCAAAUCGCAUCACAGAGGUAGCCAGGGGCCUCUGUCUAAAUGUCAGUGGCAAGCUUGCUUUUUUUUUUAGAAGAAUUUGGAUUUUCAAUUCCACACACAAGAGAACCCCAAUUCUCAAAACCCUUAGCGCUUUCCUUCCCGAGUCAAACAAAACAAGAUUUGUUUUAAAAAUCCUUCCCUCCAGAGAGCCUUAGGAUUGCUUUCAUCUAUUAUUAAGCUGUGUGUUUUUACACACAGGAGAAGGGACAUUAUAUAAUACAUGGUAUGGUCUGUGGUCUCAAUGUACAGUCAAUAUAAUAUAUGUAGCAUACAGUAUGUAAGAUAUAUAAUUCUGUGCUAAGGUAGCAUUAUUUAAAAAAUAAGAAAUGUGAAUUUGUGCAUUGGUGUUGUGUUAGAUUGUUAUCCCCCAGCCCCCAAUCCUUCUGUAGCAGACCAAUUUUCUUAGCACUGGUAAUAGAAGGGACCCAUAAAUAGUAAAAAAAAAAAAGAUGUAAGGACCAGACCUGUAACCACAGAAGUCCAAGGCUAUUCUUGAUUACAUAGCCAGUUUGAGGCCAGCCUGGGCUACAUGAGACUCUGGAACACACACACAAAAGAACUAUGGGUACAUAUUUGGGAAUAUAUUGACUCCUGACUCAGGAAUCAGAGGUGGGACCCCAGAACUGUCACUUUCAAUACACAUAUUUGGGUGCCUGAGACUUGUGUGAAUUACCUAGUCCUGGAUGGUGCCCAUAUGUACAUUAACAAUCAUCAUACUUUAAUUACUGGUUGCUGCAAGGAACUAAAAAGGGAAUACUAUAUAGUCAGGAGUUAACAUUCAGUAAGAGCUCUGCUAUUCAUUACUACUAUCCUUAGUUCUGUAACAGCCUAAGAAAAGCGUUAUAAAAUUACAAGAUUUUAGAGCAAGAAGCUUCCAUUGGUAAUGAUGAGCUCACCCCUCAAAGAUUUUUCUAAGACUUUUCAGUGGCUUCUAAAUGCCUGCCUCCCAGAGCUGAUGAGUGAUAGCAGCUUCUUCAGCAUGCAGAGGGAUGUGUGCCUCCCUCCUGGGAGGUGAUGUUUUCCCUUCCCUGAGGUCAUAGAUAAAUCUACACUAACUUCUGUUCUUUUUUAAUUUCAUAUAUGUGCUACAGUUUUCCUUUAUGGAAUGAAGAUAAUAAUUAUCUUCCAUAGAAGGACAUUAGUAAGUCUACUAGAAUUCCCCUGAUUGAUUUUACUGCAUCAGGAGGUCUAAAACCCGCCGCACAAUACUCAGUAUCUUUCUUAGCAAAUGCAAAAGUCAGCUUCAGCCUAGAAAAUAUAUACACAUAUGAAUGUGGUGUGUGUGUGUGAGGGGGUCUGUUUUCAUUUUUCUGUACCAAGUGGGGUUGCAUAAUGCCUGUUUGAGUAAAAUAAUUUCAGCGAUGAGUCUGCUUUUCUAUCUUAGAUGGAACAGACAUAUCUCCCAUGUUCUGGGUUUUCUUAAAUAGCCAGGAGUCUUGAUGAUAAAGACAAGCAACCAUCUAAUAGAGAAAUAACUCCAGGACAGAGUGCCGUGGCUGCCUGAUGUCGCUUUCCUGACAACCUAUAAAAGCGUCAUAUUGAUGAAGUGAAUGAGACCUUCUCUGGUCAUUUUCAACUAGGAACUAAUAACCCCGCCAUGCUAUCAGGCAUGCAAUAACCUCCAUGAAAACUUGGUUCAUCCCAUAAAUCACUCAGGAAUUUUCCUAUUUCUUUCGCAGGACACAUUGCACAUCUGCUCAAUGAAAGGAGGAAAGAGGCAAUAUUUCUUUGAUCAGGAUCUCUCUCUCUCUCUCUUUCUGUCUCUCUUUUAAUAUUCUUGUAUCUAUCCCUUGGGAUGCUAUCGUUUCAAGUGGGUGCAGAGAGUCCAUCACUUUCUAAUGAAUGCAGAGAAUUUAUGAAUUUGAGCUAUAAAACGAAAUAUGAGGGAUUUUAGUUCAUCUCAAUCUAUAUUUUACAUUGUCAUGAGAAAAUCAAGCAGGCCACAAAGCCGUAUUGUGCCCUGUUCACUAAAUCUCCUGAUCUCUCAUGACCCCUCAAUGUGUUCCAUUUGUGGCCACAUAUGGAAGAGGGUUGCAAACAGAUGAUUGCUUUGUGUUUUCCCUCAAAUAUGUCAAAGGCAUAGCAUGCUUUUCAGACCAUCUUGGUUGCGGACAGGAAGAGCUUGGCCAGUGCAGCAGACAUCAGCCUCGGCUAAUACUGUCAUGCUUGGACAUCUUACUGAUUCUGUGACUACUUUCUAGGUACUGAAAGCACUUUGGAAUUUGUAGGGUGGACUUGGUUGUCAUCCUAAGUCCCGAGGAGGUUUAAAGCCUCAGGCCAGAUCCCCAAGUGAGAAGGAAUUGUGAGGAGAAGAUGUCUUUUCUGUGUGUGAAAUAAAAGGAGCCGUGUAGACAGCUGGGGAAGCGGAGAGCUUUCGGCCAGUGAGCAGGAGGCUCUCCCAGGGUUGCUUCUGCUGGCCCCUCUCACUGGUGUGGAGAGGAUAAUGGCAGAGAAGGUGCAGGGGUCCAGUAGACCCAUGUUCAAAUUUCAAGCACUGAAAUCCCAGAGAUGAUGGGGGGGGGGGAAUUUAUCCUUCAAACCACCACCAUACUGUCUGGCAGGGAUGUGGCGGGACAGUUCUGUCAACUUAGAGCCCUCUCAUUUGGGAAGAAUACCACUGACCGGGAGGAAAGGCUACAAGACAUUCAGCAAGAACCAUCUGAUGCCUCCUUUACGUGUUACGUAGCAGGGGCCCCUAAAAGUGGUGACUGCUUUUCUCACUUAUGGUCCUGCCCCACCUGGCAGCAUGCCAGCUGUGUGAUUCCCAAGCAUGACACUUAACCUCUCUGAUCUUAAGAAUGCUAGCUGUAAAAGACUGGUAUCAAAUAUACCUCUGAAUGGUUGUUACCUAGGAGACACUUGGGGGCAUAACGUGGAGGACAGCAGCUGGCAUACAGUAGGCGAUACAUAAUGUUACUUUAAUAAAAAUCUGAUAUUGGAAUCUCACAUUAGCUGCUGCCAUUCCGGUCCUUGGUUCUUUCUAGUGGGCUUGUAUUUCCUCCCAAAACGAGCAGUUAUUAGCAUGUAUUAAACUUGGCUAUGAACCAUG